RNAcentral lists this ribosomal RNA (320 nucleotides) under uncultured eukaryote. RNAcentral describes it as "partial 18S ribosomal RNA". It matches the Rfam family "Eukaryotic small subunit ribosomal RNA", at positions 1470 to 1796 of the family's 1831-position model. The record is from RNAcentral.
CCCCUAGAUGUUCUGGGCCGCACGCGCGCUACACUGAACAGUUCAACAAGUCUUAACCUUGGCCGAUAGGUCUGGGUAAUCUUUGAACGCUGUUCGUGAUUGGGAUAGACCUUUGCAAUUAUGGGUCUUCAACGAGGAAUUCCUAGUAAACGCAAGUCAUCAGCUUGCAUUGAUUACGUCCCUGCCCUUUGUACACACCGCCCGUCGCACCUACCGAUUGAAUGGUCCGGUGAAAUCUCGGGACGGCGGCUCGGUCGCUUGCGUCCGACUGCUGAAACUUGAUUAAACCAUAUCAUUUAGAGGAAGGUGAANUCGUAGCA